AACCCUAGCUCACACGCAUCCACGCUCGUGACCCGUCUCUCUCGGUCUCUUUGCUACGGAAAAGAAGGCGGCGACGGAGACUUCUGCUUCGUCAGCGGCGGUGGUGGCUGUGGCUGCGGCUGCGGUGCACCGGCGAGGGGCCCUAAGCGGCGUGGCCAGCCGGAGGUCCAACUCCAAGCUGUCCCCCCCCCCUCCCCCAAGUGACGCGGCCAGCCGGAGCUUCAAGUGGUGCGGCCAGCCAGAUCUCCAAGUGGCGGCGGCGCGGCAGUGUGCAAUACGAGGACGGGUGAGGCAGCACGAGCAGUUCUUCGUCUUCCCCAAUCCCAUGCAGCGGCUUUAUCUUCAGUUCUUUCUCUUCCCCAACCGUAAGCAGCAGGCGGACACCAUGGCAGGCAAGUGACAUACCAAGAAUACGAUUUUUCUUCUGAUGUGGAAGACCAAAGUGUACAGUCAUGUUUCAAUGAUUUAUAUAGGGGAUUAAUUGAAAGUUGGAGUAAUCUUGGCAGCAAGAACGUCAACUUGUUAACGCUGAAAUUCUUUUGUCACCUAUUUGAAAGAUAAACCUUGAGGAUUUCUGCAGCAUUGUAUCUCAAUGCAACAUGUUGCAAGAGCAGGAGAAGUGAGAAUGAUAAGUGUAGCUGGUCUGAAGAUGUGUGUACUGUAGUUUUGCUUUUGCAUGGCCUAACCUUGACAUUGCAUCAACUAUAUGCUUCUAUGUUUGCUUGAUGUCAGCCAGCUGGUCACAUGUACUUAUUUAUAUACAUGAAUGUGAGUAUGAUUAAUGUGCACAUUUGUAUAUGUCAUUCAAUAUUGUAUUGAUCUGAAUGACUACUCUAGUUUUAAAUACAUGUGGAUUAUUUUUUUUA
Sorghum bicolor (sorghum) is the source of this 866-nucleotide long non-coding RNA. RefSeq lists it as uncharacterized. The record is from RefSeq and is a predicted model, not a curated record. The transcript is spliced from 3 exons. NCBI's taxonomy places the organism in Eukaryota, Viridiplantae, Streptophyta, Magnoliopsida, Poales, Poaceae.